GUCAGGUUGUAACAAGCUCUGUGCUUUUUGUUAGAAAGACUGAUUGUUGACUCAUAAUUACUCAGUGUUUGUGCUAUAUCCGCUCAUUUUGAGUGAGAAGUUAAAUUGUUCCAAAAUGCUGUGUUGACCCAAAAUAUGACCUCUUCUCACUUCUUUUAAUAACUAAACAUAAAAGGGAAAAGUCAUGUAGCAAGACUCUAUGAACUCUCGUUUGCACUGUGUCACAUUUAGAUCAGUUGCUCAUCUCAUACAUUCAUAUUUUCUCUUCAAUCUAAAGAGAUUAUUCAACGUACCUCCUUACUGAGGCUUUCUGUGACUGAUGUCAAAUGAAUAAUCCCAAAAGACAAUGUUGCGGUCACAAUAGGCUGACUACACUAAAGCCUGAACCUCUUGGACAUUUUCAUUUAAUUAGUGAAAGCAGGGGAAGCAGACAGUUAAAGGCUGCUGCAGCAUCUUUUGGGAUGCCUGUCAAUCAAACUUGGAGCCUUCAUAAAAUCUGAAUGUUUUUGUUUUUUUUUUAAUUUAAGUAAUGUCCCCUCACCCUUCCAACUGCUGGUUAUGAAGGAGUGAAACAGCAACGCCUUUCUUCUAUUAUUAACACGGUGUCGGUGUUUUCCCCCGUAGGUUUUUCCCUGUUUCCUUGAACUUUGAACGUGACUUUUGCCUUGGGUGGUGUUAUUUGUAAAAGAGCAGUUCCACAUUCGAUGUUUAGAACUUGCAUAACAUCUUGGGAAACUACAAUCUCGGAAGUGAAUAAUGAGAAAAUCAUUUUCCUUUUAAUUUAUGCUUUAAGCGCAAAAGAGCAGCGAUCUACAAGUCUGUUCAGUCUCACCAAAGAAAGGUGUCGCAAACUGAACGAGAGGUGAAAGCAAUACUUUAAGCUGCAAGCAAAGUGCUCUCAGGCUGCACUGAAACUCAUUUAAUGAACACUACCUGCACCUUCACACAAGUGGCAACUUGCACAGUUUCUACAGUAGGAACCAAAGAAAAACGUGACUUAAUGCUCUGCACACACAGACACACACAGACUGUCCUGCAGGUCAUACAGGGUACACACAGGGUACACACAAUAGUUCUUUUAUUACUCAAGCAUGUUACCACAUUUGUUUGACUGAUAUCAGUUGAAACUUGUUGUUCUUUGUGUGGCUCUUUGAAGGCAAAGACACCAUUUAACAAUGAAGCCUUCUAUCAGGUUCACAUGUAGCAAGUAAACCAUACGUUUAUCAAUGCAGAGACAUCAUCAGCA
This is a long non-coding RNA of Astatotilapia calliptera (eastern happy), 1246 nucleotides long. NCBI's taxonomy places the organism in Eukaryota, Metazoa, Chordata, Actinopteri, Cichliformes, Cichlidae. The record is from Ensembl.